CCUACGGGGGGCAGCAGUGGGGAAUAUUGCACAAUGGGGGAAACCCUGAUGCAGCGACGCCGCGUGAAGGAAGAAGUAUUUCGGUAUGUAAACUUCUAUCAGCAGGGAAGAAAAUGACGGUACCUGACUAAGAAGCCCCGGCUAACGACGUGCCAGCAGCCGCGGUAAUACGUAGGGGGCAAGCGUUACCCGGAUUUACUGGGUGUAACGGGAGCGGAGGCGGCGAUGCAAGUCAGAAGUGAAAGCCCGGGGCUCAACUCCGGGACUGCUUUUGAAACUGUAUGGCUAGAUUGCAGGAGAGGCAAGUAGAAUUCCUAGUGUAGCGGUGAAAUGCGUAGAUAUUAGGAGGAACACCAGUGGCGAAGGCGGCUUGCUGGACGGUAAAUGACGCUGAGGCUCGAAAGCGUGGGGAGCAAACAGGAUUAGAUACCCCUGUAGUC
This 440-nucleotide ribosomal RNA is filed under the name uncultured bacterium. Its description in RNAcentral is "partial 16S ribosomal RNA". It matches the Rfam family "Bacterial small subunit ribosomal RNA", at positions 338 to 795 of the family's 1533-position model. The record is from RNAcentral.